GUAGCUACGUAUGGAUUAGAUAAUCGCUGAAAGCAUCUAAGUGAGAAACUAACCUCGAGAUGAGAUUUCCCAUUCGUCAGAAGUAAGACCCCUGAGAGACGAUCAGGUAGAUAGGCUAGAAGUGGAAGUGUAGUGAUGCAUGGAGCGGACUAGUACUAAUAGGUCGAGGACUUAACCAAG
RNAcentral lists this ribosomal RNA (180 nucleotides) under Oenococcus oeni. RNAcentral describes it as "partial 23S ribosomal RNA". It matches the Rfam family "Bacterial large subunit ribosomal RNA", at positions 2745 to 2925 of the family's 2925-position model. Lineage: Bacteria; Bacillati; Bacillota; Bacilli; Lactobacillales; Lactobacillaceae. The record is from RNAcentral.